RNAcentral lists this ribosomal RNA (468 nucleotides) under uncultured bacterium. RNAcentral's name for it is "partial 16S ribosomal RNA". It matches the Rfam family "Bacterial small subunit ribosomal RNA", at positions 28 to 507 of the family's 1533-position model. The record is from RNAcentral.
GACGAACGCUGGCGGCGUGCUUAACACAUGCAAGUCGAACGGAAAGGCCCUGCUCUUGUGGGGUGCUCGAGUGGCGAACGGGUGAGUAACACGUGAGUAACCUGCCCCUGACUUUGGGAUAACUUCAGGAAACUGGGGCUAAUACCGGAUAGGAGCUCUUGCUGCACGGUGGGGGUUGGAAAGUUUCGGCGGUUGGGGAUGGACUCGCGGCUUAUCAGCUUGUUGGUGGGGUAGUGGCUUACCAAGGUUUUGACGGGUAGCCGGCCUGAGAGGGUGACCGGCCACAUUGGGACUGAGAUACGGACCAGACUCCUACGGGAGGCAGCAGUGGGGAAUAUUGCACAAUGGGCGGAAGCCUGAUACAGCGACGCCGCGUGCGGGAUGACGGCCUUCGGGUUGUAAACCGCUUUCGCCUGUGACGAAGCGUGAGUGACGGUAAUGGGUAAAGAAGCACCGGCUAACUACGUG